Molecule: non-coding RNA, 1182 nt
Organism: Triticum urartu
Lineage: Eukaryota; Viridiplantae; Streptophyta; Magnoliopsida; Poales; Poaceae
Source: RefSeq, a predicted model, not a curated record
CUCUCCCUCUCCCUCCCGCGAGAAGCUACGCCGGCCGAUUCCGGCGAGCUCCGGCGGGAUUCGACGACGCCCGCCCCACAGCCGAGAGCCUCCCGACCCCGCGCCGCUGCGCCACCUCACCUCCGCCCGCCGGUGCGUGCUGCCACCUCAACGGACCCUAGGAGCCCCGCCACCUCACGCUGCCGCCUGCGCUACGUCGCGCGCCGCCACCUCCCCACAAGCUCGCCGCCCCGCCGCGGAAGCCUCGUCGCCGGUCGCCCCGACCUCGAGAUCCGCCGCCGCCAUGGGAGCCGAGCACCAAGCUCCUCUACGCCCCGCCCGCCAUGGGUGAUCUGAGGCCGGCCGGGAGGCGGGGAUGGGGCCCCGGUGGGUCCCGGGGAUCUGCGCAGUGGCGCUGCUCUGGCUCGCCGCGGCCGCAGCCGAAGAUCCCGAUCCCAACGAGCUCGAGCGCGCUCUCGUUGUUCUUCAGUCCCCACCGUGUCUUGUAUUUGGACGAGCUCAUGCUAAUAUGUGGUGGUACACUACCUGGGCAAGGUCAUUUUGAUACUGAUACUUGUGGUCAGUAGAGGGUUCAAAGCCUGACCAUCUCAUGGAUCCGUUGAUAAUAUCCCGGAAGUAAAUAUUGUUGCUUGCUUCAUCUCUACUAUUUUCUGUAACUGCUUAGUGUUAAGCUCAUGAUCAACCUGAUUACUUAUGCGGCAACCUUCUUACGUAGGUAGCGCGACAACAAUUCUUCUUCCUCAAAGCAUAUAUUUUCUCCAAGCGAUCAACAAAGUGUUUGGUCCAUUUGGAAGGUACUUGAUGCCUCUUGGUCAGAAGAUGAUGGCGAGUUCCUCAUUCCAAUUGAGUUUAUGUUGUGUAGGUUUGUUCGUCAUGAUCUGGAUUGCCACAGUCGUGUUCAAGUCCAAUGAUAUCUUGCGCAAGCAGACCGCUCUCAAGAUACAACGGUCCGGCAAGCUGCUAUGGUGGUCAAGUGUGUGCUGCCUAGGAAAAUAGAUAUUUAGUUUUAGGUCAUUUCUUGUAAUUUCAGAUAUGGAGUGCUUGUCUUUAGUUUUUGGUUUUUACUUUCUGAAACUUGCUACCUAUGGAUGAAACUGUGUAAUAUUGAUGAAACUAUGUAUAUGUAUGGAUGAAACUUGCUACUAUUGGUAACAUGUGUUGGAUAUCCUAUAUUGGUCAUAU